AACGAACGCUGGCGGCAUGCCUAACACAUGCAAGUCGAACGAGACCUCCGGGCCUAGGGGCGCACGGGUGCGUAACGCGUGGGAACCUGCACUUAGGUUCGGAAUAACUCACCGAAAGGGGUGCUAAUACCGGAUAAUGUCUUAGGACCAAAGAUUUAUUGCCUUUGGAUGGGCCCGCGUUGGAUUAGCUAGUUGGUAGGGUAAAAGCCUACCAAGGCGACGAUGCAUAGCUGGUCUGUGAGGAUGAUCAGCCACACUGGGGCUGAGACACGGCCCAGACUCCUACGGAAGGGAGCAGUGUGGAAUAUUGGAGGAUGGAGGAAGGCCUGAUCCAGCAGUGCGGGGUGAGUGAUGAAGGCCUUAGGGUUCUAAAGCUCUUUUACCCGAGAUGAUAAUGACGGUACCGGGUGAAUAAGCUCCGGCUAACUCCGUG
Molecule: ribosomal RNA, 433 nt
Filed under: uncultured bacterium
Lineage: Bacteria
Description: partial 16S ribosomal RNA
Rfam family: Bacterial small subunit ribosomal RNA
Source: RNAcentral